This 530-nucleotide ribosomal RNA is filed under the name uncultured bacterium. RNAcentral describes it as "bacterial SSU rRNA". It matches the Rfam family "Bacterial small subunit ribosomal RNA", at positions 977 to 1509 of the family's 1533-position model. The record is from RNAcentral.
GGCCUUGACAUACUAAGAACUUUCCAGAGAUGGAUUGGUGCCUUCGGGAACUUAGAUACAGGUGCUGCAUGGCUGUCGUCAGCUCGUGUCGUGAGAUGUUGGUUAAGUCCGCAACGAGCGCAACCCUUUCCUUAUUUGCCAGCGGGUAAUGCCGGGAACUUUAAGGAUACUGCCAGUGACAAACUGGAGGAAGGCGGGGACGACGUCAAGUCAUCAUGGCCCUUACGGCCAGGGCUACACACGUGCUACAAUGGUCGGUACAAAGGGUUGCUACCUCGCGAGAGGAUGCUAAUCUCAAAAAGCCGAUCGUAGUCCGGAUCGCAGUCUGCAACUCGACUGCGUGAAGUCGGAAUCGCUAGUAAUCGCGGAUCAGAAUGCCGCGGUGAAUACGUUCCCGGGCCUUGUACACACCGCCCGUCACACCAUGGGAGUUUGUUGCACCAGAAGUAGGUAGUCUAACCGCAAGGAGGACGCUUACCACGGUGUGGCCGAUGACUGGGGUGAAGUCGUAACAAGGUAAGCGUAGAUGA